This is a long non-coding RNA of Episyrphus balteatus (marmalade hoverfly), 1111 nucleotides long. RefSeq lists it as uncharacterized. Lineage: Eukaryota; Metazoa; Arthropoda; Insecta; Diptera; Syrphidae. The transcript is spliced from 5 exons. The record is from RefSeq and is a predicted model, not a curated record.
CCACACAUCGACAAUGGUUUCCAUUCCAAACUACCACCAGGAAUUCUACCACAUGGUUUGCCCACUAUGAAGGAAGUUGCAUCAGCCAUAACACCACUUGAAUACAAAAAAGAACCUGAAGAGAAAAAUAAAUUAAGGAACUAUCGGAAGAACAAAAACAGAUGAUCAUCUUGUCGGCGGACUUUCAAAGGUUUGUUUUACCCGCUGGUCGUGUCAUCGAAAGGGCUCUAUCUGAGAAUGUCGACAUCUACACCGAAUACAUUGGAGGUGGUGAUAGGAGUCAAACGAUGAGAGGACACAUGCUAGGUUGUCAUUGAAUCGAGAUUUCCACGAAGACCGACAACAACACAUUUUCCUGAACUGGUUGUUGUUUCAUAUCACAAUAAUGAGGAGAGUCACAAUGAACCAGAUGGUGUUGUAAUGGUCUGGAACACAAAAUAUAAAAAACAAGCACCCGAAGAUGUAUUCCAUUGUCAAAGUGCCGUUAUGUCAACAUGCUUUGCUAAAUUCAAUCAAAACCUUAUACUCUGUGGAACGUAUUCCGGUCAUAUUGUAUUAUGGAAUAAUCGAGUGGAAAAGCGCACACCCAUCCAGAGGACCAGAGGACACCUCUAAGUGCAACUGCACAUACGCAUCCAGUGUAUUGUUUGCAAAUGGUUGGCACACAGAAUGCAGACAAUGUGUUAUCGAUCUCAUCCGAUGGCAAGCUUUGCUCAUGGAGUUUAGAUAUGUUGUCGAUGCCGCAAGAUACACUGGAAAUGCAGCCACGGCAAUCGAACCCAAUUGCUAUCAGUUGCAUGUGAAGAUGGCAAUGUUUAUUAUGCUUAUCGACAUAGAAUACGUUCGGGUGUGUCUGAAGUCUAUGAGAAACAUUUGGGUCCAGUGACGGGAAUAUCAACUCAUCCAAAUCAAUCUACAACAGAUUUUGGUGAUUUGUUUCUUACAUCGUCCAUUGAUUGGACAAUUAAGUUAUGGAGUCUUAAGGACACUAAACCAUUAUAUUCAUUUGAAGAAAAUUCAAAUUAUAUUAUGGUCUCCAAUUCAUCCCGCCUUGUUCGCUUCUGUCGACGGCAGUGGUCGCCUUGAUUUAUGGAAUACCGAAGUGCCCUCG